This 1023-nucleotide long non-coding RNA is filed under the name Bemisia tabaci. RNAcentral describes it as "lncRNA ENSSSA2NGG005318". Lineage: Eukaryota; Metazoa; Arthropoda; Insecta; Hemiptera; Aleyrodidae. The record is from RNAcentral.
AUGAAAGAAGUUCUAGAGCAGAAAGGAGCCAAAGUAGGAUUUAUCGACUAUAACGUAGGAGAUGAAACUGCUGUUGUCAGGCUACACGGAGAAGGAACAGCCAAGAAGGUCCUGGAAGCAUUCGAAGGAAAUGUUGUCGAAGUAAAAGGCGUCAAGUUAGAAGCGUCUGUAAUCGAAGGAGAAGAAGAGGAGCAGUUAAUUGCGAAGAGUCUUGCAGAUCUUUCCAAGAGACGUGCUAUGAUGGCAAACAGGAAACGUAACAAAGGUGGGAAAGGGCGAAAGAGCCAAAGCAAGCGCGGCGGUCCGAGGGGUGGCAAGAGGCGGCGCGGCAACCGUGAUGAUGACGACGACGAUGAUGAUGACAACGAUGAUGACGAAAAUGACGCCAGUGAAGGAGGCAAUGAUAAAAAUCCAAAACGUAAAAACGAAGAUACUGAAACCGCAGCUGAAACCCCAGCUAAGAAGGAACGAACGGAAUAAAUUAAGACUCAUCUCUUGCACAGUUCACUAUGGGAAAAUUUUCUCAUGUUUAUAUGUUGACCUCUCAUUUAAUUUAAUCUCUUGAUUUUCUCGGAAGGAAAGAAUGUAUUUGUUCUGUUGAGUCUUACAUGACUUAAAAAUCCGGUUUUUACGAUUACUAUGUCACCCGUUUUUUCUUUUUUUUAAAUUUAUCAAACAUCUCAUUAUGUUACUUUUUAGUUAUUGCUGUUAUGGUUUGAUCCCGAUCACAAAUCCAUGUUUACUCUUCAUUUACGCUCCCAGACUUUUCCUCUAGAAUUAUAAUUCGCGUUCACAAAGUAAUGACUUUCUCUCAGAUUUUUUUUUACUUACUAUCUCUCUAGAUUAGCUUAACUCAGCCUGUUCUUGAGUUGUAAAACACUUUCAUUAUCAAUCAUCAAUAAACUUUUUCCAUUUUCAGUUUUUGGCUCUUGCUUUUUCUGCGUUCGAAAGGUUCCUCUUUCUUUCGUCUACCGAAGCUUUUCAGGGGCGAAUAUGCAAUUUGCAACCGCACAACUCUUCUGA